This is a long non-coding RNA of Cuculus canorus (common cuckoo), 899 nucleotides long. RefSeq lists it as uncharacterized. The record is from RefSeq and is a predicted model, not a curated record. Lineage: Eukaryota; Metazoa; Chordata; Aves; Cuculiformes; Cuculidae. The transcript is spliced from 3 exons.
AAGGAACAGCUGAAGGACCUGGGACUGUUUAGCCUGGAGAAGAGGAGGCUGAGGGGACAGCUCAUUGCUGUCUACACCUGCCUGAAAGGAGGCUAUAGUGAGGGGAGUUAUGGCAGCAGAGAAUGCCUGGACCUGUUCUACCAGUGUGCGAUUUCCCUGGGCAGGUACAGAUUCCUGCCGUUCCUGCCAGGCUGAGUCAUGCGGGUUCCAGCACCAUCCCCAGAGCUCCCAGCCUUUGCGAUCCUUCACCUCCAUCUCCGCUUCCGAAGGUGGGCUUUAUCCUACAUUGGUGAAUUUGGACUCAGUUUGCGGCCAGCCAGCUCUGCCCAGCAUCGAGCAAGGGAGGAUCUGCCCCUCGUUUCACUUAAUCUGGAGACAGAGGAAUAACACCUUUAAUCUCCAACCCCAGAAUAAGCCACUGACAAAGAGUAACUGGAAAAGGAAAAAGAAAAACAACAAACCCGCCAAGGCUCUCAGCAUUGUGCACCUUGCCAGCAUCGGGGCAAAACAAGUAAAUAAUUGUUUUUGUGGUUAUAUAACAGCAGGAAAAUCAUGAAACCCCUUGAACUGGUGCUAGGAGGGCAGCUGGAGUGGUGAGGGGCGAUGCUUUUGGCCAGUGCUUCUGAAACAGCACCAGGUCGGUGAGCAGUUGGCAGGUGUCAUGGAUGCUGGUGGAUGCUGGGGAUACCGGCGGGUGUCGGCGAUGCCAGGGGCUGUGAGGCAUGCUGGCAGUGUUGGGAAUGCUGGUCGGUGUCAGGAAUGCCAAUGGGUGUUGGGGGUGUCGGCAGUUGUCAGGGAUGCUGGUGGAUACCUGCACAGAGCCAGCCCAAAGCCUGCAGGCAGAGAGCAAGCAGCAUCAGGCAGCAACCUCAGCCAGCUCUCUGCAAGCUGCUUACUGG